CAAUAGCGUAUAUUAAAGUUGUUGCAGUUAAAAAGCUCGUAGUUGGAUUUGUGGCGUACGGUGUGUUCCGGGCACUUGUUGUCUGAGUAACCUGCUGUUGCCAUCCUUGGGUGGAACCUGUGUGGCAUUAGGUUGUCGUGCAGGGGAUGCCCAUCAUUUACUGUGAAAAAAUUAGAGUGUUCAAAGCAGGCUUAUGCCGUUGAAUAUAUUAGCAUGGAAUAAUGAGAUAGGACUUUUUUGCUAUUUUGUUGGUUUGCGCAAAGAGGUAAUGAUUAAUAGGGACAGUUGGGGGUAUACGUAUUCCAUUGUCAGAGGUGAAAUUCUUGGAUUUUUGGAAGACGAACUACUGCGAAAGCAUUUACCAAGGAUGUUUUCAUUAA
RNAcentral lists this ribosomal RNA (380 nucleotides) under uncultured eukaryote. Its description in RNAcentral is "partial 18S ribosomal RNA". It matches the Rfam family "Eukaryotic small subunit ribosomal RNA", at positions 592 to 976 of the family's 1831-position model. The record is from RNAcentral.